AUUGAACGCUGGCGGCAUGCUUUACACAUGCAAGUCGAACGGUAACAGGCCGCAAGGUGCUGACGAGUGGCGAACGGGUGAGUAAUGCAUCGGAACGUGCCCAGUCGUGGGGGAUAACUACUCGAAAGAGUAGCUAAUACCGCAUACGAUCUAUGGAUGAAAGCGGGGGACCGUAAGGCCUCGCGCGAUUGGAGCGGCCGAUGUCAGAUUAGGUAGUUGGUGGGGUAAAGGCCCACCAAGCCAACGAUCUGUAGCUGGUCUGAGAGGACGACCAGCCACACGGGGACGGAGACACGGCCCAGACUCCUACGGGAGGCAGCAGUGGGGAAUUUUGGACAAUGGGCGCAAGCCUGAUCCAGCAAUGCCGCGUGCAGGAAGAAGGCCUUCGGGUUGUAAACUGCUUUUGUACGGAACGAAACGGCUCUGGUUAAUACCCGGGGCUAAUGACGGUACCGUAAGAAUAAGCACCGGCUAACUACGUG
This 482-nucleotide ribosomal RNA is filed under the name uncultured bacterium. Its description in RNAcentral is "partial 16S ribosomal RNA". It matches the Rfam family "Bacterial small subunit ribosomal RNA", at positions 30 to 507 of the family's 1533-position model. The record is from RNAcentral.